Molecule: microRNA precursor, 179 nt
Filed under: Oryza brachyantha (malo sina)
Lineage: Eukaryota; Viridiplantae; Streptophyta; Magnoliopsida; Poales; Poaceae
Description: MIR812 microRNA precursor family
Rfam family: MIR812 microRNA precursor family
Source: Rfam by way of RNAcentral
CUUAUUUUUUUUCGUGUCUAACGUUUAAUUAUUUGUCUUAUUUAAAAAUUUUUUCGAUUAAUAUUUUUAUUAUUACUAGAUGAUAAAAUAUAAAUAUUAUUUAUACGUGACUAUUUUUUUAAGAUUUUGUACAAAAUUUUUAAAUAAGAUAAAUAGUUAAACGUUGAAUACGGGAAAAC